ACAAAGCAAUUAGUAAAUUAGUAUGUUAGUGAAUAAAUGAAUACUUUUUUAGGCACCUACCCUGUGCCAAACACUUUAGUAGGAGCUGGGGGGACCAUAGUGAGCAAGGCAGACAUGUGACCCCUAUUGUGGUGGAGCUCAAAGUCCUGUCAGUCAGAAAAUCGUUAACACAUAAUUGAACAGGUCAUGAAUCAUGAGUAUGAUAAGUAUUAUAAAGGACAAAUACAGGAUAUGAUAAGAUCAAGAAGGCUUCCCUAAGGAAAUGACUUUUACACUAAGACAGUAAGUUAUCUGUACUAAUGAUGGGGGACAGAGGCAGAGAUAAUCUAAAAAUGGUGUCUAAUCUAAAAUUUAUUUCCUAUUUUUGUAUUGCAAUCUCUAUGUAUUCAUAGUCCAUUUAAACCUCAGCCAGUUCCCUUCACCUUGUACCUUCCCCUUUUUUGUUCUUCCUAGACAUACUGUCAAGACAGCAAUCUAUGAUAUGCUUUGAUAUUCCAGGAAAGAAAGUGUGAUUACAGUAUUCUCUGAUUAGAGUGUUAAACUCUGGGCUAAGAUAAAAGAAAAGCCAGGAAGAUUAUGACCAAGUGACUAAAUUACCAUCUCAAAUGCAUAUUAUGUUUGAGAAGUUGGGAGGAUCUGAGGUUCAGAGAAAAUGAACUUGAACUGGAACCACACAGUAAAGGCAGCUUUUGAUUUUCUGCCACCAGUUGACUCAUCACCAGGGAGAAACAGAGGAAAGAUCAGGGGAAAACUUGUG
This 757-nucleotide long non-coding RNA is filed under the name Homo sapiens (human). RNAcentral's name for it is "HSALNT0291967". Lineage: Eukaryota; Metazoa; Chordata; Mammalia; Primates; Hominidae. The record is from RNAcentral.